AAUAGAUACUGAACAAUACAUAUAAAAUAAAAAUAAACUAAAAAACUUAAACCAUCUUUAUUUUAUGUUUUUGAUUGCCAACUUCCUGUUUCUCGCAAAGUAUAUGCUUUUAUCCACACUGCUUUAGAAAUUUGUUUACAAUACUUUUUUUUUGAAAUCCAAAUCUUCAAUAUUUAUAUCAUAGUUAUUGCACAAGCCAAAACAUACAAAAUGUAGUUUGGAGCUGUUUGGUUUUUGGUCUGAAAAUCAACACAGUCAGAGGAUAAUUUAAUAUUCAAAAUAUAAAUAAGUUUAGAUUGUUUUGCUUUAGGAUUGUUGUUAUGGAUAUAAAACAAUCCUGGAUACAAAAUAAGGAUUUAUAUUAAUUUUAACUGCAUUUGUAUGUAUGUUUUGUUAGAAAAUAUAUUUUGUUGAUUAAAACAACUA
This is a long non-coding RNA of Hydra vulgaris (swiftwater hydra), 426 nucleotides long. RefSeq lists it as uncharacterized. The record is from RefSeq and is a predicted model, not a curated record. NCBI's taxonomy places the organism in Eukaryota, Metazoa, Cnidaria, Hydrozoa, Anthoathecata, Hydridae.